This 292-nucleotide ribosomal RNA is filed under the name uncultured bacterium. RNAcentral describes it as "partial 16S ribosomal RNA". The record is from RNAcentral.
GGACUACCGGGGUAUCUAAUCCUGUUUGCUCCCCACGCUUUCGCGUUUUAGCGUCAAAUACAAGCCAAGAAGCUGCCUUCGCAAUCGGUAUUCCUCUCGAGAUCUACGCAUUUUACCGCUACUCCGAGAAUUCUACUUCUCUCUCUUGCUUUCUAGCUUGCCAGUAUUGAUUGCUUUUCCCCAGUUGAGCUGGGGUCUUUGACAAUCAACUUAACGAGCCGCCUACACGCUCUUUACGCCCAGUAACUCCGAAUAACGCUUGCACCCUUCGUAUUACCGCGGCUGCUGGCAC